CCCUGUGAUUCUGUGGUGGUGGCACCACUCAGCCUCAGUAGAUGUGGAGAUAUGGCACUGAGAGGGACACAGCGAGGAUGGGUUGAUGGUUGGACUAGGUGAUCUUAGAUGUCUUUUCCAACCUUAAUGAUUCUGUGCAACUGCAGCCAUAUCCCCGUGUGGUUUCUGUUCUCCCCCGUGUUCUCCCUGCCAUUCCUGCUUGAAUCUAAUGAAUUAGAUUCUUUUCUUAUUCUGUCUUCUGCUCCUCCGCCGUCAUUAUUUGGCAGAGCUGUAGGCACAGACGUGUUGUAAUGCGGCAGCGAAGCCAGCUCGGGCUCCUUUUGAGCAGAACGAGCACUGCUUGCCAGCCGGCCUGCCGCUCCGCAGAGUGCUGGAGCUCCGUGCUCUGCCCGCUCCCAGCUCCGGCACCGUAACCGGCACUGCCGUGGCCCUCCACCCCAGCCUCAAACGCGACGCUCUCGAACGCGGCUCGACAGGGCGGGGGGCAGCCCGACAGGGCCGCUCUGCCCGCACCCACACGCCGCCUCUCCGAGCCCGGGGUGGGAGCGGCGGUGCGGGGCUGCGGCUCGGCUCCUCUGCGCGGUGCCGCCCCGGGGCAGGGAGGCAGGGCAGGCUGCGGGGGCCGGGCUGCCGGGGCCGGGCUGCCCCACCGCGUCCUGCGGCACUCGGCACCGCCGCCUGCAGCCGGGGAGCCUUUCUCAGAGGCGCUGCUGCCGAGAAACACGAGCGCGUAAGUAACUGAACGGGACAUGAAGAAUUGACAUUUAAAUGGCCAGCAUGUUGCAAAAGUUGGUGAGUGGCAGGGAGCAGGAGCCAUAAGUUGACUUCUGGGUUUGGAAAUGAAAAUUUCCAGGACUUCAGGCGGUACGCUGAAGCUGUGAACCAUAGGAAUCUGGGCUGCACAACAGCAUAAGAGAUAGGUAGGAGACAGGCAAGUUUUGCCCUUGUUUGACUGGAAAUGAGUAGGAAUGGAACUUCCUUGAUGGGAAAAUUCCCACCCGGCACUAUCUAUAAUUCUUUGUAUUUACAGGUAAAACACUGUAACUGUGUUUUCAUUUUCAAUCUUAACAUUUUUGCUCAGUUGGAAUAGAAAGUCCCUGUUGCUAAUUCUGCAAUAUGGACUUGGCUGAAGCAGAGGUGCUAGUGAGCAGCAUUUGAAGAGUGUCAGAUAAAGCUGAAACAAAAGACUGAUGUUUUCCACAGAGUUUGAUUUUUGGAAAUCUGACACUAGAAAUAGAAACUUGCUAAUGAUAUCUGCAGGACUGAGAAGGAUGGAACACAGAAUGAACUGAAUAAUGCCCAAGAGACGUUACAGAAAAUGGAUGGAAGCUACUAGUAUGAAAUAUCACAUCAGGCGGUUAUGACCUAAUAAAAUAUUUUGCAAUAAUCUUGGUUCUUAACAUUUUGGAAAUCAAAGACAACAGAGACUUUAAUGUAGCAGUUGACUACAGGAUACAGAUGAGCCAUACAUCUUGUAUAGACAGGAAGAAGCAAUUCUGUGAUGUUAUCAAGUGCAGUCUCUUGGGUAGAGAUGGUGAAUGUUAGUGCCAUUGUACAAAACACUGGUGACAUGCCAUCUAGAACAAUGUGCGAAACUUGGUAAACCAGGCUUUACAGAGUUGAUCUGCAAUUGAAACAUAGCAGAAAAGGCCACUGAGGAGACUUGGAAAAAGGAGUCUCUUUUGUAAGUUAUGAAAAUAUUGGCAUACGUAAUAAAUGGAUUUAAUUUUUCUGUGAUUAAAUUUAGGCCUGAAGUUACACUGUUUGUAACAAUUUGAGACUAAGCACCUUAAUCCAUGAGAUUACCCAAUACAGUUAAGGUUUACUUCCUUUCCCACCUUUGCUGAUGUAUUUGCUUGACAGGAGAGAUUUUUGACAGCAAGAGAUUUUUUUUCUACUUUGAGGGUCAAGGCUGCCUUUGUGGUUUUGUUUUUUUCCAAAGGAUAUUUUAUCUGGAGAUGUACUAGUAGUGUUUGAAGAACACUCUUACUGCAGCAGUGAAUUUUAUGCACAGCCACUCGCUAAUGUUCCGUUAUGCUUCUGUAUGCGGAAAGCCUGUUCAGAUGUAGUUGAACAGAAUACUUGUAUUUCUGUCCCAGAUUUUCAAAUCUGAAUCUUGGGCCCGAAAAAUUAAGUUCUAAUCAGUAUUGUUGUGUAAAGUCUCCCUCUCUUCUGCCUAUCUGCCUGCCUUCCUUCUGNAAAAUUUAUACUUCCCAUGGGAUGCCUGUCCUUUAUCAAGAAAGGUGAUCACCAAACUCAUUAAGAAUUUAGCCUAAAUGAAAAGAGUACUGAUCAAGUCUAAAGGAUCUAAGCACUGUUGUACUAUUGCAAAUUUGAAAUCCAGUCUAGGCAUUUGGGUAAAGCAACAAAUCAGGUUGAGGAAAUUUUAGACGGUUGCUAUACAGAAUUGUCUUCUUCCUCCAAACAUAAUGAAGGGAAUAGUUUAAAAAUGGGUGUCCUCACAAGCCUAAGUUGCUUAAUGGCUUUGGAAGGACUGAGAUAUAGAAUCUAGGGAAACAGAAGGAAAAUAGAGCAGCAGCAUCCAAGGGGCAGCAGUUUAAAAUUAUCUCUGUUGCAGAGAUUAGUAAAUAGUUCACUAAAACAAAAUAAGAAGAGCUGUUGAGCACAGGUCUUCUUUCUACUUAUGACAAAUCAGUGCUUUCAGUGUAUAAGGAGAAAACAGAAGGAAAGAGUUGCUCUGUGGUCAGAAUAGGCAGUGUGGUAAAAUUCCAUGUGAAAAGGUGCAGCUCCAAGGGAACCCAGUGUUAGCUUGCCUUUCCAAAAGGUAGUCAGGAUGAGUAGAGAGCAGUCAUUAGGCAGAACUGGUGAAAGCGAGAGGUAGAAAACACUUUGGAAAAAAGCAGUGAUUUCAAAGGCUGAUAUCUUGUGGAAUACUCAUAUCUGAGUAUGAAGGAUUUAUAAUUUUGGACACAAAAGGUAAGCAGUAUUGUACGAUGGUCUAAAUUGAAGUGCAGAGAAGGAUGUUCAGUUCUUAUACGAUUUCAUAUGCUUCUGCCCAUGCAACUGUUCUGCUUUUUUCCUGCUCUUGGAGGUUUGUGUGAUUUUCUGUAGCUGUCAUGUUCAGCACCACUGAACAUGGAGUCUUUGGAGCCCUCAUUCUUGAAGGGGCAAAAACAACCUGUCAGGAAGUGCAGCAGAGAUUGCAAGAACAUGGACUCUUGUAAGCUGCUCGUUGCUGAAUUCUGCAUCUGACCCCUUUCUGCAGCUUACAGCAUGUAAAAUGCACUGCGUUCCCACCCCCUGGUGAGGGGAAGGAAAUAGGGCUGUGCUAUUUUUUUCCUCAAAAAUUAGCUUUUGGCAAGAUAAAACAACUCAAGUAGGUUACUGCAGAAACACUGCCAGUUAAAGCUAGAAGAUAAUUCUCAGUAGCAAAUCACCGUGUUGAUUCUGAGCAGUAAAUAUUUUAGCAAAAUGUUUAUGGAAGAUGAAAUAAUUUUUGUUCUAGAAAUGACAAUUAGCCCUUAAAAGAGGCUGUUCUCCUGUGACUGGGUAUGCACAAUGUGUAACUGUAGCGCAUCAAACUCACUGUGAAUUAGCAUUCUGGCAGACAAUCUAACUUGCAAAUGAAAUUAAUGAAAUUAAUUCGUUGUGAUGAGCUGCCAUUCGCACAAGUUUUAUUGAACUUGGUCGGACCUGAAGAUGCCCAGUUUUGGUUAGGGCAGCUCACGUGAGCGCCAGCUGAGAGGAGACCUGCCAGGACAGGGCAGAGGCAUGUGGGGAGGGCUCAUAGUUUGCUGUUUGUUUGGUUUUAUUCCUUAGCAUGAACAUUGGCAAAGCAUCAAAUGAGCAGCUCUCUUGCCCACGCUGUGCUGUUGCGUCUUUCAGUCCCGCUCCCACAGAUCUACUGCAGCUGUUUCUCUCCUACAGCCCUUGAGCUGCUUCAUGGGAAAUGCUGGAUCAGCUGUCCGUGGCCCGAGGGCUGAGGCGCUGUAGCUUUUAGACAGGUAACUCUUUGCUGCGAAUUUGUAUGAAUGCAAAUGGCAUCAGCUACAUGGCUUAGUAAGUCGCUGGGUAUUUCAGUAACUUGAACAGAAUUCUGCAUCAGGUUGGCAAGACACAACUAAUUUUGUAUAAUUUGACUCAAUAAUUAUUUAAAUCCUUUUUUUUUUUUUUUUUUUUUUUUUUUUNNNNNAAAAAAAAAAAAAAAAAAAAAAAAGCAACCAAAAAAACCCCAGAAAACCUCCACUGGGGUUGACAAAUUAUUGAUGUUGAGUGCUUGCUCUAAGGAAACUUUUUUUCUUUCUGGUUUCUCCUGAUUCUUGAAGUUAAAAGCCAGUAAUGGAGAAGUAGCUAAGACAUAUAUAUGUGGGAGUUCCUGGCAAAUCACCCUAUUGAUUCAGGUUUUCUGCAGUACAAUUAAUGGGGCAAAUGUGAUCCAAUCCUUUCUCCACCAAGGAUGCAAUCUCAGAGCUAUUGUUUUAGCCCAGGAGAAACCUCUGUUAUAGGACUCUGUGUUCAUUCAGAAGCUGUUACAAUCAGGAAGAUCAGCGCGGUGGAAAGGUGAUACGAGAGUGGAACAGGAAACGGACUAGUGCGGAUGGAACGGGGUUACAAAGGAAAAUGAAAGGUACUCAGUAGUCUUUGAAGAUCUGGGCUUGCAGGAAAGACUCCACAAGGGAGAGAUUUCCAACCAGAGAUCCUUCCCUAGUGGCAGUGAGCCCUUAAAUGAGGUCUAAGAGAGGUGCAUCCAGGCUCCACCCCUUCUGGUCACACAGAUGAAUUGCCUUCUCCUGUGCUCCCAGGGCUGACUGAAUCCUUUCCCCAGGUGAUCAAUCAGUGGUUCAGGCCAUGACUCAACAGUUCCCAUACAGAAGCAAAGCCCCUUGGCAGGCUGUUGGAGGCUCUCAAAUCUUCGAGUCCCCAGGAAGUGCAACUGCUCCAUCUCUGGGGAAUUUAUUAGUUAGAUCCUAUUUGUUCUAUGUGCUCUCUCCAAAAAUGAAGUUUGAGCACUAGUUCCUGGAACAAAUUCUUUAAAAACUAGCAAGUUUGUUUUGUGUUGUACACUAUUUCUGAGCAGGUUAAUCCACUUAGGAAGCACAUUUAUUUUUUCUGUUCUUUAUGUAACUGGUCUUUG
Molecule: long non-coding RNA, 5095 nt
Organism: Pavo cristatus (Indian peafowl)
Lineage: Eukaryota; Metazoa; Chordata; Aves; Galliformes; Phasianidae
Source: Ensembl